CACGUAGGCACCAAGCGUUGUCCGGAUUUAUUGGGCGUAAAGAGCUCGUAGGCGGUUCGGUAAGUCGGGUGUGAAAACUUUGGGCUCAACCCAAAGCCUGCACUCGAUACUGCUGUGACUUGAGUCCGGUAGGGGAGUGGGGAAUUCCUGGUGUAGCGGUGGAAUGCGCAGAUAUCAGGAGGAACACCGGUGGCGAAGGCGCCACUCUGGGACGGUACUGACGCUGAGACGCGAAAGCGUGGGGAGCGAACAGG
RNAcentral lists this ribosomal RNA (254 nucleotides) under uncultured bacterium. RNAcentral's name for it is "partial 16S ribosomal RNA". It matches the Rfam family "Bacterial small subunit ribosomal RNA", at positions 524 to 776 of the family's 1533-position model. The record is from RNAcentral.